Molecule: long non-coding RNA, 260 nt
Filed under: Mytilus galloprovincialis (Mediterranean mussel)
Lineage: Eukaryota; Metazoa; Mollusca; Bivalvia; Mytilida; Mytilidae
Source: RNAcentral
CGACUUUUGGAGGUGAAAUUAACGUCAACUUAAUAUCAAUCAGCUGGCAGUUGGGAAAAAAAAAACAUUCUGUAAAAUUAAACCAAUGGAGCUUUCAAAUUGUCGACCUGUCAACCUGUAAUCCUUUCGACUUGUCAAUCUGUCAACUUUGCAAUCUGUCGACCUGUGAACAUAACCGACUUAUGUACACAUUAACUGAUUUACUACUCUAUUCUUCCAAUUGAACUACAAUCCAUAUAUUCUACUUGACCCAACAUGUG